AUUGAACGCUGGCGGAAUGCUUUACACAUGCAAGUCGAGCGGCAGCGCGGCCUUCGGGCUGGCGGCGAGCGGCGAACGGGUGAGUAAUGCAUCGGAACAUGCCCAGUCGUGGGGGAUAACACUUCGAAAGAAGUGCUAAUACCGCAUACGUCCUGAGGGGGAAAGCGGGGGAUCGCAAGACCUCGCGCGAUUGGAGUGGCCGAUGUCAGAUUAGCUAGUUGGUGGGGUAAAGGCCUACCAAGGCGACGAUCUGUAGCUGGUCUGAGAGGAUGAUCAGCCACACUGGGACUGAGACACGGCCCAGACUUCUAAGGGAGGCCGCAGUGGGGAAUUUUGGACAAUGGGGGCAACCCUGAUCCAGCCAUUCCGCGGGAGUGAAGAAGGCCUUCGGGGUGUAAAGCUCUUUCGGCAGGAACGAAACGGUGGGCUCUAACAUAGUCCGCUAAUGACGGUACCUGAAGAAGAAGCACCGGCUAACUACGUG
Molecule: ribosomal RNA, 484 nt
Filed under: uncultured bacterium
Lineage: Bacteria
Description: partial 16S ribosomal RNA
Rfam family: Bacterial small subunit ribosomal RNA
Source: RNAcentral